GCUUCUCUCUGGAUCUAUUCAAUAUGGUGGUCAGUCAAGAAAUGUUUUUGCUUGCAAAAAGAUCGUAAAAUGUUGGCGCUACAAGCUCGGAAAAGAUUGUAAAUGAGAUCAGGCUUUUUUAGCUUUAUCAGCAUCACAGGAUAACAAGAAGGAAGCAUCCAAACAAAUUCAAAGAUGACUAAUUUUAACAUGGUGGAUACGAAAGUCCUUCCUUGAAAACCUACUUCAGUCAUUUGUCGAUUAAAAGUCCAGCGAGAAAUGAAGUGAAAGGCGCGUAGAUUUGAAAACCACGAGAUUGUUUUUGCCAAUGUUUUGAUCUGAGGGUUUAAAGAAUCACUUUUACAAUUGAAACUGGAAUGCAAUGAUAAGAAAGGGAAAUGUGGAAUAAAUGCCUGGAAAGACAAUAUAAACUAUAAUUUGAAACUGGAAUGCAAUGAUAAGAAAGGGAAAUAAACUAUUGCUAAAGCUAAAGAACCACUGAAGCUAAAGAAUUGAGAUACAACAAUCUUUGACUGACUUUAGGUGUGGCGAUCGAAGGUGGACAGCAAGAUCGAAGCUCAGCAAGAUUGAAGAUUGUUCGAGGAAGAAGGAGUUCGCCGUUGACUAAAAGGUUUAUCUGAACAGCUAUUUGUCAAGAUGAACGUGAAGAGAAAAAAGAUGAGAAUAGAAGACUCGCCCGGCCAAAUUCAAAAUGGCGAUGCCAAAGAAAACCAUCCACGUGGACCGUUCGCGGACCUUUCUGAGCAAGAUUGUUGUGCUGUCUGGUCAAAGUUAAGUAUUUUACUUUGUCUUUGAUGUUUGUGUGCCUUCUGCUAAUUGUUGGCCAGAAAUGACAAAAAGCCAUAUACAAUAUGAAAUAUUCUGCGUACAAGGUUAUCUAAAGUUUCGAGCUUAAUUCUGCCUGCAAUGAUGAUAAUUUUUUACUGAAAAUUUAUGUCAUGAGCAACUUCCGCACCUAUAGACUGAAGCAGAACUGAACAUUUUGUCAUUAACGUUUAUCUCAACAGCCAGUUAUCAAGACGAACGUCAAGAGAACAGUUGAAAU
This 1045-nucleotide long non-coding RNA is filed under the name Dendronephthya gigantea. RNAcentral's name for it is "uncharacterized LOC114531673, transcript variant X3". Lineage: Eukaryota; Metazoa; Cnidaria; Anthozoa; Malacalcyonacea; Nephtheidae. The record is from RNAcentral.